UUUAAUAAACAGAUAAAGCUGACACAAGCGGCCUAUUAGCUCAGUUGGUUAGAGCGUCGUGCUAAUAACGCGAAGGUCGCAGGUUCGAAACCUUCAUGGGCCAAAUAAGUUUUUAACAUUUUUUGUUUUAAAAUUCCCAUUUCUGAAUUCCAUUUGUUUCCUUUUCAAUCCGUGUUUUAAAAAACUCCAUUUGUGUGCCCCCAAUUUCAAUCCUCCACCAUCGUCAUCCAUGGAGGGUUCCAACCCCCUCAUCCUCAACGCUGGUUGAUCGCCCUGCCUUCUUGUCCGAUCCAUUGGUGCUGGUAUCUACAUAUUUUAUGUGAUACUUAUCGUCAUAAAGUUCAGGUUUCAAAAUAUCCCGCCUGCUAAGAAUCAAACAAAAGAAGGUGGGAUUGUGAGUAGAUGCAGGUGUUGGAUGAUUCCAUGGCUUAACCCACAGUAUAUUUUCCAUUUUCCUUUUAAAGGCAAAAGAUGAAGGUUUUGGAAAAGGAAAAUGUUAGGUUGGGGUACUAAGAAGCUCCAUAUUGUGAUUGGAUUUUGUAGAAAGAAGCAAAAUUGAUAUCUAUUUGGUGAAUCUACGUAUUCAUCACUAUGAAAUAUUAGGCUGUAAAGGAAGAGGAGUUCUUUAGUUUUACGUUCCCCUCUCUCAUGCACAUGAAUUAUAGCAAUACGUAUGGGAAACACAUUAGUAAUGGAAUUAAUGGACUUCUUUUCA
Molecule: long non-coding RNA, 715 nt
Organism: Cucurbita pepo subsp. pepo (vegetable marrow)
Lineage: Eukaryota; Viridiplantae; Streptophyta; Magnoliopsida; Cucurbitales; Cucurbitaceae
Source: RefSeq, a predicted model, not a curated record